RNAcentral lists this ribosomal RNA (468 nucleotides) under uncultured bacterium. RNAcentral describes it as "partial 16S ribosomal RNA". It matches the Rfam family "Bacterial small subunit ribosomal RNA", at positions 28 to 507 of the family's 1533-position model. The record is from RNAcentral.
GAUGAACGCUGGCGGCGUGCCUAACACAUGCAAGUCGAACGGAAAGGCCCUGCUUUUGUGGGGUUCUCGAUUGCCGAACGCGUGAGUAUCACGAGUGUAUCCUGCCCUUGUCUUUCGGAUAACUUCAGGAAACUGGGGCUAAUAUAGGAUAGGAGCUCCUGCACCAUGGUGGGCGUUGGAAAGUUGCGGCUGUUGGGGAUGGACUGGCGGCUUACGAGCUUGUUGGUGGGGUAGGGGCUUACCCAGCCUUUGACGGGUAGGCGACCUGAGAGCGUGACCGGCGACAAUGGGACUAAGAGAGGGCGCAGUCGCCUACGUGAGGCAGCAGUGGGAAAUAUUGCACAAUGAGCGCAAGCCUGAUGCAGCGGCGCUGCGUGCGUAAAGACGGCCUUCGGGGUAUAAACCGCUUUCGCAUGUGACGAAGCGUGAGUGACGGUAAUGAAUAAAGAAGCACCGGCUAACUACGUG